This 253-nucleotide ribosomal RNA is filed under the name uncultured bacterium. RNAcentral's name for it is "partial 16S ribosomal RNA". It matches the Rfam family "Bacterial small subunit ribosomal RNA", at positions 524 to 776 of the family's 1533-position model. The record is from RNAcentral.
UACGUAGGUGACAAGCGUUGUCCGGAUUUACUGGGCGUAAAGAGCGCGCAGGCGGUCGUUCAAGUCGAGUGUGAAAGCCCCCGGCUCAACUGGGGAGGGUCAUUCGAUACUGCCGUUCUUGAGGAUUGCAGAGGAGACUGGAAUUCCCGGUGUAGCGGUGAAAUGUGUAGAGAUCGGGAGGAACACCGGUGGCGAAGGCGGGUCUCUGGGCAAUUCCUGACGCUGAGGCGCGAAAGCGUGGGGAGCAAACGGG